CGCGUAGGUGGUUUGGUCAGUCAGAUGUGAAAGCCCCGGGCUCAACCUGGGAACUGCACCUGAUACUGCCAGACUAGAGUACAGUAGAGGGCAGUGGAAUUUCCGGUGUAGCGGUGAAAUGCGUAGAGAUCGGAAGGAACACCAGUGGCGAAGGCGACUGCCUGGACUGAUACUGACACUGAGGUGCGAAAGCGUGGGUAGCAAACA
RNAcentral lists this ribosomal RNA (207 nucleotides) under uncultured bacterium. Its description in RNAcentral is "partial 16S ribosomal RNA". It matches the Rfam family "Bacterial small subunit ribosomal RNA", at positions 568 to 774 of the family's 1533-position model. The record is from RNAcentral.